AUUGAACGCUGGCGGCAUGCUUUACACAUGCAAGUCGAGCGGCAGCGCGGGGGCAACCCUGGCGGCGAGCGGCGAACGGGUGAGGAAUACAUCGGAACGUACCCCGGAGUGGGGGAUAACGCCGCGAAAGCGGCGCUAAUACCGCAUAUGCUCUGAGGAGGAAAGUGGGGGACCUGCAAGGGCCUCACGCUCUGGGAGCGGCCGAUGUCCGAUUAGCUAGUUGGUGGGGUAAAGGCCCACCAAGGCGACGAUCGGUAGCUGGUCUGAGAGGAUGAUCAGCCACACUGGGACUGAGACACGGCCCAGACUCCUACGGGAGGCAGCAGUGGGGAAUUUUGGGACAAUGGGGGCAACCCUGAUCCAGCCAUGCCGCGUGC
RNAcentral lists this ribosomal RNA (377 nucleotides) under uncultured bacterium. RNAcentral describes it as "bacterial SSU rRNA". It matches the Rfam family "Bacterial small subunit ribosomal RNA", at positions 28 to 404 of the family's 1533-position model. The record is from RNAcentral.